UACAGAGGUCUCAAGCGUUGUUCGGAUUCAUUGGGCGUAAAGGGUGCGUAGGCGGCGCGGUAAGUCGGGUGUGAAAUCUCGGAGCUUAACUCUGAAACUGCACUCGAUACUGCUUUGCUCGAGGACUGGAGAGGAGAUUGGAAUUCACGGUGUAGCAGUGAAAUGCGUAGAUAUCGUGAGGAAGACCAGUGGCGAAGGCGGAUCUCUGGACAGUUCCUGACGCUGAGGCGCGAAGGCCAGGGGAGCAAACGGG
Molecule: ribosomal RNA, 253 nt
Filed under: uncultured bacterium
Lineage: Bacteria
Description: partial 16S ribosomal RNA
Rfam family: Bacterial small subunit ribosomal RNA
Source: RNAcentral